GUCGAGCGAUGAAAUCUUAACAGAACCCUUCGGGGCGAAGAUAAGACGGAUCAUUGGCGGACGGGUGAGUAACACGUGAGUAACCUGCCUUUUACACAGGGAUAGCCUCGGGAAACCGGGAUUAAAACCUGAUGAAACUAUCAAAUCACAUGAUUAAGAAAGUUAAAACUCCGGUGGUAAAAGAUGGACUCGCGUCCCAUUAGCUAGUUGGUGAAGGUAACGGCCCACCAAGGCAACGAUGGGUAGCCGGCCUGAGAGGGUGAACGGCCACAUUGGAACUGAGAAACGGUCCAAACUCCUACGGGAGGCAGCAGUGGGGAAUAUUGCACAAUGGGGGAAACCCUGAUGCAGCGACGCCGCGUGAGCGAAGAAGGCCUUCGGGUCGUAAAGCUCUUUUAUAUGGGAAGAUAAUGACGGUACCAUAAGAAAAAGCCCCGGCUAACUACGUGCCAGCAGCCGCGGUAAUACGUAGGGGGCUAGCGUUGUCCGGAAUCACUGGGCGUAAAGGGUUCGCAGGCGGCAAUGCAAGUCAGAUGUAAAAGGCAAAGGCUCAACCUUUGUAAGCAUCUGAAACUGUAUAGCUUGAGAAGUGUAGAGGCAAGUGGAAUUUUUAGUGUAGCGGUGAAAUGCGUAGAUAUUAAAAAGAAUACCGGUGGCGAAGGCGACUUGCUGGGCACAAUCCGACGCUGAGGAACGAAAGCGUGGGGAGCAAACAGGAUUAGAUACCCUGGUAGUCCACGCCGUAAACGAUGAGUGCUAGGUGUCGGUAUAAAUCGGUGCCGC
RNAcentral lists this ribosomal RNA (783 nucleotides) under uncultured bacterium. RNAcentral's name for it is "bacterial SSU rRNA". It matches the Rfam family "Bacterial small subunit ribosomal RNA", at positions 61 to 849 of the family's 1533-position model. The record is from RNAcentral.